RNAcentral lists this ribosomal RNA (429 nucleotides) under Bacillota bacterium. RNAcentral's name for it is "Firmicutes bacterium partial 16S ribosomal RNA". It matches the Rfam family "Bacterial small subunit ribosomal RNA", at positions 355 to 776 of the family's 1533-position model. The record is from RNAcentral. Lineage: Bacteria; Bacillati; Bacillota.
UAGGGAAUCUUCGGCAAUGGACGGAAGUCUGACCGAGCAACGCCGCGUGAGUGAAGAAGGUUUUCGGAUCGUAAAGCUCUGUUGUUAGAGAAGAACGUUGGUAGGAGUGGAAAAUCUACCAAGUGACGGUAACUAACCAGAAAGGGACGGCUAACUACGUGCCAGUAGCCGCGGUAAUACGUAGGUCCCGAGCGUUGUCCGGAUUUAUUGGGCGUAAAGCGAGCGCAGGCGGUUCUUUAAGUCUGAAGUUAAAGGCAGUGGCUUAACCAUUGUACGCUUUGGAAACUGGAGGACUUGAGUGCAGAAGGGGAGAGUGGAAUUCCAUGUGUAGCGGUGAAAUGCGUAGAUAUAUGGAGGAACACCGGUGGCGAAAGCGGCUCUCUGGUCUGUAACUGACGCUGAGGCUCGAAAGCGUGGGGAGCAAACAGG